Long non-coding RNA from Armigeres subalbatus, 290 nucleotides. RefSeq lists it as uncharacterized. Lineage: Eukaryota; Metazoa; Arthropoda; Insecta; Diptera; Culicidae. The transcript has 2 exons. The record is from RefSeq and is a predicted model, not a curated record.
CCACGUUCCGCUUGACAUGACGCCAUAUUUUUUUGCAAAAAGUUCUGCAGUCCAUUCUGCAUACAUGUAUUUUGUAUUCAGUGCGUUAUUAGUGCUACUGGUACGAAUUUGGUUCCGGUUUCAGGCGGUUUCAGUUCCAGACAAUGACCCGCAAUGACCAUCGUACCGACAGUUUUUGCAGAUGCUGCUUCGAUCGCUGGAUUGAACCGUUCAAAACAAUAAGUUGUAAUUGAAUUAAUAUUGUGUAUUCAAUGGAUGUAAUACUUAAAUAAAAUCAAAAAUUCUCAAUA